CACAUGCAAGUCGAACGAGACGAUUGAAAGCUUGCUUUUGAGAGUCGAGUGGCAAACGGGUGAGUAACGCGUAGACAACCUGCCGUAAAGAUGGGGACAACAGUCCGAAAGGACUGCUAAUACCGAAUGUUGUAUCUCCUCCGCAUGGAAGAGAUAUUAAAGAUGGCCUCUACUUGUAAGCUAUCGCUUUGCGAUGGGUCUGCGUCUGAUUAGCUAGUUGGUGGGGCAACGGCCUACCAAGGCGACGAUCAGUAGCCGGUCUGAGAGGAUGAACGGCCACAUUGGAACUGAGACACGGUCCAGACUCCUACGGGAGGCAGCAGUGGGGAAUCUUCCGCAAUGGGCGCAAGCCUGACGGAGCAACGCCGCGUGAGUGAAGAAGGUUUUCGGAUCGUAAAGCUCUGUUGAGAGGGACGAGAGGCAAAGCUAGGAAAUGAGCUUUGUAGGACGGUACCUUUCGAGGAAGCCACGGCUAACUACGUG
This 483-nucleotide ribosomal RNA is filed under the name uncultured bacterium. RNAcentral describes it as "bacterial SSU rRNA". It matches the Rfam family "Bacterial small subunit ribosomal RNA", at positions 52 to 507 of the family's 1533-position model. The record is from RNAcentral.